UACAGAGGUCUCAAGCGUUGUUCGGAUUCAUUGGGCGUAAAGGGUGCGUAGGCGGCAGUGCAAGUCAGGUGUGAAAUCCCGGGGCUCAACCCCGGAACUGCACUUGAUACUGCUCUGCUAGAGUACUGGAGAGGAGACUGGAAUUUACGGUGUAGCAGUGAAAUGCGUAGAUAUCGUAAGGAAGACCAGUGGCGAAGGCGAGUCUCUGGACAGUUACUGACGCUGAGGCACGAAGGCCAGGGGAGCAAACGGG
RNAcentral lists this ribosomal RNA (253 nucleotides) under uncultured bacterium. RNAcentral's name for it is "partial 16S ribosomal RNA". It matches the Rfam family "Bacterial small subunit ribosomal RNA", at positions 524 to 776 of the family's 1533-position model. The record is from RNAcentral.